RNAcentral lists this long non-coding RNA (1134 nucleotides) under Canis lupus familiaris (dog). RNAcentral describes it as "lncRNA (ENSCAFG00000051875.1)". The record is from RNAcentral. Lineage: Eukaryota; Metazoa; Chordata; Mammalia; Carnivora; Canidae.
CAGGCUCCCUGGGCCACUCUUGCUGGGAGGCUUGCUGGGGGCUUGCUGGGGGCUUGCUGGGAGGCUUGCUGGGGGUCUUGCUGGGGGUCUUGCUCGGGGGUCUUGCUGGGGUCUUGGGGGAGCUUGCUGGGGGGCUUGCUGGAGGCUUACUGGGGGUCUUGCUGGGGGCUUGCUGGGGGGUCUUGCUCGGGGGUCUUGCUGGGAUCUUGGGGGGGCUUGCUGGGGGGCUUGCUGGAGGCUUGCUGGGAGGCUUGCUGGGGGUCUUGCUGGGGGCUUGCUGGGGUUCUUGCUUGGGGGUCUUGCUGGGGUCUUGGGGGGGCUUGCUGGGGGCUUGCUGGAGGCUUGCUGGGUGCUUGCUGGGGUCUUGCUGGGGGGGCUUGCUGGGGGGGCUUGCUGGGGGCUUGCUGGAGGGGCUUGCUGGGGGCUUGCAGGGCACUUGCCAGCACUGGCCGGCCUCGGGCAAGUCGCCUCUCCCCUCUAGGCCCACACGACUCCAUCCAAGAAGUAUGCGCGUCCAGACCCCGAGGUCUUCAGAGCCCCUCAGAGCCUAAGCUUGUGCGGCGCCAUCCGGCCUGUGGGAGCUGUGUGUCCCGGGCCCCAAGGAGACAGAACCGAGCCGCGGGCUCCCAUCUGCACAGGCAGGAUGUCCUCUUCCUACCUCCAGGGCCAACGUGGGCGAGGGGCCGUGCCUCGGAAUGCGGGGUGUGGCAGAUCCGGACUCGGCAGGAGGCUGCGAUCUGGAGGCCGAGGCUCAGUGGCCUCUGCGCCGGGUGCAGCGGGUUCUGCACGUGGGGGGAGGUAGGAGGUGACCGAGGAACGGCCGUCGCACAGAUGGGGAAAGCCCAGGAAUGGCUGCGUGACCCCUCCUGGGUCCCAGCGUCAGUGGAGAAGCUGGACCAAAGGCCGAAGUAUCCAGGGGCGGAGGGCCGCGGCUCACCAGCUCAAGGCCUCCUUCCCCCAGGGGUGGGUGGCCUCUCGUCGCCUGGGUCCCCGGGAGGGGGCAAUGCGUGGGGGCUGAUGGGCUCACGGGGACCCGCCGCCCAGAGAGGAGCUGGGCCUCAGCCGGCGAGCAGAGUGAGGCCCGCAGGGGCUGCCAUGAUCCUAGUGCCGCCGGGCUUCCUGCCAGCAUGGUGA